RNAcentral lists this long non-coding RNA (1123 nucleotides) under Homo sapiens (human). RNAcentral describes it as "HSALNT0330553". Lineage: Eukaryota; Metazoa; Chordata; Mammalia; Primates; Hominidae. The record is from RNAcentral.
GGUCCUGCAGCAACCUUUAGAAGGUUUUUCAACAGAAAAGGUGUUUCUAUUCUACCCACAUCAGACUAGGAAUCACAGUUCUGGGAAUGAUGCUACAAGUGAGCAGGGAGUGAAAUAGUUAUUGAUUACCACAACAAGAUGCAAAAAAAACCCGAAAACUUAGAGGAUUAAAAUGAUAAGGAAAGUCACAAGGACAGUAACGAGUAAAGCCUGGACUUGAACUUCUGAUGACAAGCUUCCGCUUUGCCUCACAGCCUCUUAGACCAAGAUCCAAAUGAGUAAAACACACACAAAAGAGACAGGUAUCACCAUGAGCUCGUGUGGCCAAGAAGCCUUUGUAUUGACUGAACUUACCUUGGAAGUAAAUGCAUGUACAGUAAUAAGUUUCAACUUUUUUAAGGACAUGGGCUCACAAAGGGAAAAACUGCUGGGAGUAGAAUAAAAACUGAGCAGGAUACAGACAACAGAGAUGAAGAAAAAGAAGUCCAGUUACAAGGAGAUGGGUGGGGAGGAAGAGUGAGAAAAUCCUAGAAAGCAAGCCAGACACUUUAUUCCUAAAACAUGGAAAGGUCAGCAUCAGCCAAUAGAUUGAGAAUUUGCAUUGUCUGAGUUAAGGAAAGCAUCUUGCAUUUUCUGGAGCACUGAGCAUCUCGUCUUGAACCUUCUGAGUUCUGGGAAGCUCCAAAUUCAUUUGCUGAAGCAAGAAGGAAAAACAGUUCUUGGAGGGAAUCUGAAAGAGAAUGAGACUGCACUGCCAAUGGUCUUCUGGUCAACCCUGGCCUGUGCGACUCCACAUGGGUCCUGUCCAUCACACUCUGCUCAUGAGAAAAUGCCCAAGAAAUACCCACAAGUUUUAAGCAAAGAAACUCCGCUUCACUGGAGAUAUGCUGUUAUUUGUGAGACCACCAUGCCAACCUAAUAUUGCUGAACAAAAAUAUUGACUUCCAGACAACACUGAAUAGAAGUUUUGGUGAUGGGCAUCUGUGAUGGCUGUUAUUAUACGCUGCCUAGAUUCUUUGGAAAUGAAGGACUCAUGCCUACAGCUACUGAGAGUGCUACCUGAAGACAACCCUCAGCUUUAAGCCCUUUUCAGGGAUCGUCUUGCUUGAAAAAAGCUGUCUCA